This 66-nucleotide transfer RNA is filed under the name Cobbenicoris guangxiensis. RNAcentral's name for it is "tRNA-Thr". The record is from RNAcentral. Lineage: Eukaryota; Metazoa; Arthropoda; Insecta; Hemiptera; Urostylididae.
GUUUUAAUAGUUUAAACAAAACAAUGAUUUUGUAAAUCAUAAAUGGUAUAUUUAUACCUUAAAACU